Molecule: long non-coding RNA, 1882 nt
Organism: Gallus gallus (chicken)
Lineage: Eukaryota; Metazoa; Chordata; Aves; Galliformes; Phasianidae
Exons: 2
Source: RefSeq, a predicted model, not a curated record
CAGACAACCAGCUGACAUCACUCGCACAGUGCCCGCAAGUGAUGAAGACUGCACAGUGAAGUAGUUCACAGGUUUCUCAAUAAGCUCACAGCAGAGCCACCAGCUUCAGCAAAAGGCCAGUUGGAAACACGUUGCCAGGAAAGGAAGCAAAGAAUAAAACCUCUGAGGUAAAGGACAAAAGCCUCCCUCAGUGAAUGAGACACUGCUGAAGGGGUUUUCUCUGGCCGGAGCUCUCACACGGAUUCUUACCUGUGAGCAUUUCUCCAGCACCUCCUCCUUGAACUGCAGGAACUUCUCCUGGACGACGGGCUGGUUGAGGGCAAAGGACAGGAAGUGCGUGAAGGGCUGCUUCUUACGGAAGCUGUCGAGAAGAACAUCGAUGCGCGUCCGGGCCGAGAUGACACCGCCGCGCUGCUGUCCUGUAAUCACUGCAGGGAAACAAAGCGACACCCGCCCGGUUCUCACGGUGCUACGGGGAGAUUGCUGACCCUUGUGCAAAAUAAACAGUACAGAGACGGAUCGUGAUUUUGCAUUAUUCUUAUCCACUCGGUAUCAGCGGAUCUUGUGAAGGUAAGGACAUUUCAUUCAGGGGCUGCCAAAAAGGAAUUAGAAAAACCUGCACAACAGCACCUCUCUACAGUUAACCCAGAGCUCACUGAAGUGACAGGAAUUAAAACUCCCAGCCACGCACGGAGAAAUUUUGCCAGACUCUCUGCUCGACUUAAAAUGCCUGGCACGGCUGUACUUUCCCCCGCAAAGGCAGGAUGAUGCCAUCAAAAAUAUCCCUCCGCUCACAAGAAAGCUGCCUCUGUGUGUCUAAAAAAAAAAACAAUAGCAAAGAGUCGCUCAGCUUCAGUGGCUCUUCAGAUUUCUAGAGCAUUAUUUCAUGUUUUCAUAAAAGCAGUCUCUUAGUCGAAGCGACAAAGGAAAUCUACAAAAGAUCAGGAUGGCCUACGUUGUUUGUGUAUGCAGCAAACAGAGGACACUCGAGCUUGAAAGGAAAGAACUGCAAAGAGCAAGAUUUUCUUGGCUUCUUAUUAUUACAUGUUUUCAACAUCUCUCAGCCUUCCUAACAGUUCUUCAGAGCUCUCAGGAAAAAGUCAAGGCCCACUUACUGAGAAGUGCCACCGCAUUCCUGCGCAGUACGACAGCUGGGUCCCCUGUCACCUAAUCCUCCCUGCCCUGUUGUGAACGUAACUCUAUGCUGCACAGCAAGAGCCCUCUGGAUUCCCACUUAGGCAGAGACCCGGUGAGCAACACCUCCUGUCUUGUUAAGUCGCUGCAAGUGAUGAGAAGGAACAUACGGUACAAGGAUGCCUGCUCUCACUAAGAGGAUCGACUAACAGCACCAGAAAGGCAGCGUCAUCAAAACACUGCUUAUAUUAAAGAACAUGAUGAAGUUUAUUUCGUGUCUAAGUAGACAACACAACACUUUUUUGUAGAUGUGUACUGCAAGUCCUUAUUAAUGGAUAUGGUAAUAAUUACAACAAAAAAAAAAGCACAUUCAGGUCCAAGGUUCACAGGCCAGUCAUUUGUAUCCAAGAAGCGACUUCAGUGAGAGUAUUCAUAGGCUUAAAAGGGAUUUUUUCCCCCCUCAAGAUUCUUACUGUGUUUUAUAGAGGUUUACAGUCAAGGGAAAAAAGCUUCAGAGAAAACGGAGGUGAUUUUCCCAGGGCUAUAAAGAGAGUCAGGGCCAGAAGCAGGAGUUAAAGGAAAACACCUCCUAUUCCUCCUCCCUUCUCAAAUCAUGUCCAUGGAAGAGCCAGUGAGAGAACACUUACCAAUUUCUCCUUCCAAUCCAGGCUUGGGAAUGCUGAUUGAGGUUCGAGUCUCUGUUUCUAUUCUCUUCUUGGUUUCUCCUUUCUUCCCUAUUAUGUACCUG